UGCUGCUGAUGGUGGUGAUGAUGGUGGUGGUGAUGAUGAUGCGACAAUUGUAGCAGGUGACGACUAUGACCGAGUAUACUAGGGCCUCCGCUGCUACCGAUGUGUAGAUCGUGCGGCCCAUCAUCUUCCUCUUCCUCUUCGUCGUCAUCAUCAUCGUCGUCAUCAUUG
RNAcentral lists this microRNA precursor (168 nucleotides) under Anopheles darlingi. Its description in RNAcentral is "microRNA mir-598". The record is from RNAcentral. Lineage: Eukaryota; Metazoa; Arthropoda; Insecta; Diptera; Culicidae.